This 360-nucleotide ribosomal RNA is filed under the name uncultured bacterium. RNAcentral's name for it is "bacterial SSU rRNA". It matches the Rfam family "Bacterial small subunit ribosomal RNA", at positions 519 to 881 of the family's 1533-position model. The record is from RNAcentral.
GGUAAUUGUUCCCGGUGCAAGCGUUAAUCGGAAUUACUGGGCGUAAAGCGCACGCAGGCGUGGUGCAAGCGUUAAUGUGAAAUCCCCGGGCUCAACCUGGGAACUGCAUUCGAAACUGGCAGGCUGGAGUCUUGUAGAGGGGGGUAGAAUUCCAGGUGUAGCGGUGAAAUGCGUAGAGAUCUGGAGGAAUACCGGUGGCGAAGGCGGCCCCCUGGACAAAGACUGACGCUCAGGUGCGAAAGCGUGGGGAGCAAACAGGAUUAGAUACCCUGGUAGUCCACGCUGUAAACGAUGUCGACUAUGGAGGUUGUUCCCUUGUACCGGUGGCGAGGAGCUAACGCGUAAAUUACUGGGCGUAAU